CUCUCUUAAGGGCAUGCCAAAUGCCUCGUCAUGUAAUUAGUGACGCGGCAGAACGACGAGGGUCAUCGGCGUGAGUAACUAUGACUCCCUUAUGAGACUAGCCUUAUCCUAUUCUCAAAAUUUGAAUGGGUAAGAAGGCCGAUUUGCUUUCCGAAAUCGUUCAUCUUCUGCAGGAAUGCGUUGAACGACUAGUGGGCUAGUUUUGGUAAGCAGAACUGACGAUGUGGGAUGAACCGAACGUCAGGUUAUGGUGCCCAAUGUUCGGUGCUCAUCAGACACCAUGAAAGGUCGAUAUAGACAGCAGGACGGUGGCCAUGGAAGUCGGAACCCGCCAAAAAGUGUUUAACAACUCAUCUGCCGAAUGGACUAGCCCUGAAAAUGGAUGGCGCUCGAGCGCCCAGCCUGUACCUGACCGCUUUGGCAAUGUUGUUAACCGUCUCGCGCGUACUUCUUUGCAAGCGGACGACCGAAGUCCAAGGCGUGUAGGAAGAGGUCGCGACGGUGUGCGUUGAAGGUGUGGAGCGUGAGCUCUCCCGGAGCCGCCGUCGGUG
This is a non-coding RNA of Trichuris muris, 551 nucleotides long. NCBI's taxonomy places the organism in Eukaryota, Metazoa, Nematoda, Enoplea, Trichinellida, Trichuridae. The record is from Rfam.